Molecule: RNA transcript, 1850 nt
Organism: Rosa chinensis
Lineage: Eukaryota; Viridiplantae; Streptophyta; Magnoliopsida; Rosales; Rosaceae
Exons: 9
Source: RefSeq, a predicted model, not a curated record
UUAGGUUUUUGGGUUCAUAAACUUUGUUCUUGUUCCCGCUCCCUCCAUCUGCUAUUUCCCGCUCACUCCAUCCAGUCCCGAGUUCUCGACAACGAAGUCGACCAUAGCAAUCCGCGAAAUCGACAUCUAGUAGUUCAACUCCACCUCCUUCCUAUUUUUCUUCCUCUUUCUGCAUAUUCAAUCCGUCGCUCAGACCCUAAACUCUAAUACCCAGAAAUCAAUCAGAUCUGUCCGGCUCUUGCAUUGUGGCCUGCAUCUUGUCUUGUGCUUUUGAGUGGGCUUCUCACUCCCCCAGAAACUCCACUUUUCCCUUCAUCAGAUGGAAGUGAAUCUCAACCAACCUUAGCUGCUGCAAGAAGCAGUGCUUUAAAUAGAUCAACUUCCUCAGCCAAGCCUUCAAGGUUAUGUCUUUCUGAAUUGACUUUAUCCAUGUUCCAUGUUAGUUUCGGGUUAGAUAUUAGAUAGACUUCUUUAAAUGAACAAUAUUUUAUGUUGUAGAGUUUGGAAAAUGUACUUAAUUAUUGUCUCGUCUUAGGUCAUGAAAAUGUUGACGUAAUGAAAAUUGCAUGGAAGUAAUUAUAGUUCUUAAUCAUCUGACAUGGUUCUACUGCAUUGAAUGAAAUUUGGGAUCUAGUACUGAUAUACAUGGUUUCGUCAUAGUUUGAUGUUUGCAGUUACAUACUGUUGGCUUAAUUCAUACUCUUGUUGUUUAAAAUCACAGUGCUGUUGCGUGGUGCAGGAAGCUGAAUGCCAUAGCUUGUGCCUCAGAAACUUGUGCAAGAAUUCCAAGAUGCGGUUCAUGAUGUGUCUUAGCAUAUGGAAGAGGUGAGCCAUGAUAUUUUUAUAGGAACUCAGCUACCAGAAACCAAUCACAUGGGCCUCUUUGCCAUUAACUUUUUUGGGACAUAUUGUACUAUAAAAGGAGAUGGCAUAACUCUUAAUUUCCCUCCAGGGGUAGUAUCUACUGAUCAAAUUACUGCAAUUCAGGAAGCUUACUGGAGUAUGGUAUCUGCCCUCUCUGAAGCUGAUGGAAUUGACUAUACUGAUCCUGAAGAGGUUCAUAUCCCCAUCUUGAGUUGUUAAUUGCAACUCUUAUAGAUCUUGAUGCCAUGGAUGGUAAAAGUAGUGUAUCCUUGUUGGCAGAGUGUUCUAGUUCCCCUGAUAUCAAUACUAGGCAAGCAUUAGCCAAUGCUUUGGCUGCAGCUCCAUCUAUGUGGAUGUUGGGUAAUGCAGGAAUGGGAGCCUUGUAGGCCUAUCAAUAAUCUUUCCCAUAGUGAUGUCAAAUAACAAAUAUCUACUGUGUUUUUCCAUAAUGAUGUCAGAAACUCAUGUCUAUCAAAGAUGCGGUUCAUGAUGUGUCUUAGCAUAUGGAAGAGCUUUUUGGUCUCUAAUGCCUCCUGAUCAAGGUAGAAUAUAUGCCCCAGUUGAGCUUUCGUCUUCUUUGUCAUUUAGGUUCUUUGCAUUAUAAUCUCUGUGUUCGUUCUGUGGCAUUUGUCUUCCUCUUACCAUAAGCUCUAUCUACUGUGUUUUGAUUCCAGGUUCAAGAUGCAUCCAGUGGCCAUGAAAUUAGAAGGGAGUCCAUAGGAGAAGGAGUUCAUCCAGAUUCAACUAGUGAUCAAGAAAUUGAGCACGCACCAGUACUCACCAAGCCCUCUAGUUAAUGAUAAAUAGUAUUGUGGUCAAGUCUGCUUUUGAACAAUAUUAAGUUUGGGAAUGUUUCUUCCAGAGUUUCAGUUAUCUAGUAUGGUAGAUUCUUAGUAGAUUCUUAUAAUUAUGAAAGACUCUGGUUUGUUUGGUUAAUUUCAAUUUGUACUUGGUAAUGAAAUAUAACUUGGCACUUAUCAAUUGUG